UGAGUAAUUAACCUGCAGCCAUCUGCUUUUUGGUCGAUAACCACCUGUCUACCAAUGGCUUCCUCCCAGGGAGAGGCUACCCUACACUCCAAGGGCAACAUUAUGACGGGUCUGCCCUCUCUAAUCCCCAGCAUCUCCAUCCUGCCUAUGUCUGCACAGAGAGCUACUCCCCAGUAACCUGGAGUCUGCCUUCUCCCUUCUCAGGUGACAUCACAGUGGAGGGUCUUGAUGGAGAGCGACCACUGCAGACUGGGGAAGUGGUCAUCAUUGUGGUGGUGUUGCUCAUGUGGGCUGCUGUAAUUGGGCUGUUCUGCCGUCAGUAUGACAUCAUCAAGGACAACGACUCCAACAACAAUCCCAAGGAGAAGGGAAAGGGGCCAGAACAGAGUCCUCAGGGAAGGCCAGUGGGGACAAGACAGAAAAAGUCACCAUCCAUCAACACCAUCGACGUUUGAGUGAAGAAACACACCCAGAAGAGAGCUGCACUAACAACUUGGGGAUGGGGGUGGGGUCAGGGAAAGCCCAAGAUGGUGAUCUGCUGGACACUCCCAGAGGGUAAUGACAUGCCCACAAUCUCAGGCCUGGUACCCAUCCUCUUUCCACUGUGAGCAGAGCCAGUCUGUUAAGAGUCUGUGCCCCUGGACCUGGGGAGCGGAUAUCAGUUGGGAUAUCUCCUCCCAUCCCCUGGUCCAGGGGAGAGUCACUUGUUCUACCCUAUCCCAUUAGGUCCCAAAUAGGGGCCCCAUUCCACCUGUAUCAGGACUCUCAGCAGCCUCAGCUGCCCCCACAUCUUGCCUCUGGGCCUCAGAGAGCCGUGUUUCUGUGAGUACUCCUCUUUCCCCAGCAAACAAAAGGAAUUGUCGCAGCCUAGAGGCAGAUACUGCACUGCACUACUCCAAUGUCUUCCAUGGAGCCUCAGGUGCUCCCCCCUCACCUGGCAGCCCCUUCAGCUGCCAGUGAUCUCACUCCUUGGACAUUUUUCCAAUAAAAGUUCUUGGGCAAACUGGAGCUGACUGUAUAGUAUGCCGAAGACAUUUCCUCACCUCGUCUCUCUCCUGACCCUCCAAGGGCCCCUCACACCACCACCUACUUGACAGGAGCAGAUUCUCAUUGCAAGGUGUAAUAACACUCCACCCUGGGAUAGGGACCAGGAAGAAGAGGUGUAGAAAACUAGAACCCCAGAUUCUGUUGCUUUGUUGGGUGAGAAGGGGAAAAAGACAAGAGAAAGAUGUAAGUUCCGGGACCACUGGAAACUAAGGCAUGUCAUAUGAGAGGGCAGUAGUUUUUGUAUCUUCACUGCUCGCAUCAACAGCACAGCUCCUCACCACUUAUUCUUCUGACUCCUCCAUCAACCCUGGGCUAAUGGUCAGAUAAGGACUAAGCAGUGUCUUAGGGACUAAUGAACCGACAGCUACACUCGUGGAUUCCUGGUGCCACAUGCUCCUAUCCUAUGUGUUCCUGUGUCUGUUCCUCCCUCCUUUGCAUUCCCUUUCCUCUCUGUCUCUGUUUCGUCAAAGUCAAUAAUAACUGUAAAUCAUAAAUGAGUUUAUAUUCAUGCUCUGCCACCAUAUCCAGAGGAAGAUUCUGAAAAUAAAACUGAGGGGUUGGGACUCCCCUGUCAAAAGAA
Molecule: long non-coding RNA, 1627 nt
Organism: Sapajus apella (tufted capuchin)
Lineage: Eukaryota; Metazoa; Chordata; Mammalia; Primates; Cebidae
Exons: 3
Source: RefSeq, a predicted model, not a curated record